RNAcentral lists this ribosomal RNA (330 nucleotides) under uncultured eukaryote. RNAcentral describes it as "partial 18S ribosomal RNA". It matches the Rfam family "Eukaryotic small subunit ribosomal RNA", at positions 1469 to 1796 of the family's 1831-position model. The record is from RNAcentral.
ACCCUUAGAUGUUCUGGGCCGCACGCGUGCUACACUGAUGCAUUCAACGAGUCUAAAACCUGGUCUGAUAGGGCUGGGUAAUCUUUUGAAAGUGCAUCGUGAUUGGGAUAGAUGAUUGCAAUUCUUCAUCUUCAACGAGGAAUGCCUAGUAAACGCGAGUCAUCAGCUCGCGUUGAUUACGUCCCUGCCCUUUGUACACACCGCCCGUCGCUACUACCGAUUGGGAAAAUUUUAGAGAGUCCUGGACUGAUGAUUGUUCGGCUUCACGGCCUUACUUUCGUCGGGAAAGAAUUCGAUAAUAUUUUUCUAGAGGAAGUAAAAGUCGUAACA